Molecule: unclassified non-coding RNA, 668 nt
Filed under: Hevea brasiliensis (rubber tree)
Lineage: Eukaryota; Viridiplantae; Streptophyta; Magnoliopsida; Malpighiales; Euphorbiaceae
Source: RNAcentral
GUAGGGACUUCAACCCUUGGCUCUGGAAAAUAUGAAGGAGAGUAUAAUAAGGAAACAAAUCCCAGAAUUUCAAAGAGAACAAAGCCAAGAGGGAUAAAAAAACAAAAGACCCAGUGACUGUGCAGGCUCUAUCUGAGGUCGUCGGAGUGUGGCGACGUGGCCAGUGGCGGUGAAGUAAGAAAAGGUGGUUGGAGGAGUGCUCAUGCGUCAACGCGUGGAUCUAGGGCCAAAACUCUGUGGCGGCAUAUGGGGGCUCAUGAUGGUGCUUCAGGUGACCGGAUUCUUAGGGGAUAGUCGUCGACACUUGAUGCUUCUUCUGAGGUAGUAGGUGAGGCACAAUCUGUCACGCACCUGCCCUAAAGAAUGGAGAGGCACUCUGACUCUCCCCUAACAAACUAGGGAAGAAGAAGAAGAGAGAGAAGGCAAAACCAAAAAAGGCUACACCUUUACUCAAUUUCCAUUAACUUCUCAUAAUGCAUGGUACAUAUUUAAAAUGAAAAACUACAAGAAAUAGAUAAGGAAGGCUUCUAACUAAUAUGGGAUUCUUUACAAGAUGGACUAAUCCCUUGUAUUAAUUAGAUAAUAACCAUCCCUUAAAUUAACGAACCUCAUCAAUUCCAACAUCAUGGAAAAUCAGAAUUCCUAUUUAGUAUAGGAUUUAUAUUCCU